GACGAACGCUGGCGGCGUGCUUAACACAUGCCAGUCGUACGGUAAGGCCCUUUCGGGGGUACACGAGUGGCGCACGGGUGCGUAACACGUGAGUAACCUGCCCACAACUUUGGGAUAACGCUAGGAAACUGGUGCUAAUACUGGAUAUGUGCUCCUGCUGCAUGGUGGGGGUUGGAAAGCUCCGGCGGUUGUGGAUGGACUCGCGGCCUAUCAGCUUGUUGGUGGGGUAGUGGCCUACCAAGGCGGCGACGGGUAGCCGGCCUGAGAGGGUGACCGGCCACAUUGGGACUGAGAUACGGCCCAGACUCCUACGGGAGGCAGCAGUGGGGAAUAUUGCACAAUGGGCGCAAGCCUGAUGCAGCAACGCCGCGUGCGGGAUGACGGCCUUCGGGUUGUAAACCGCGUUCAGCAGGGACGAAGCUUUUUGUGACGGUACCUGCAGAAGAAGCACCGGCUAACUACGUG
This 465-nucleotide ribosomal RNA is filed under the name uncultured bacterium. RNAcentral describes it as "partial 16S ribosomal RNA". It matches the Rfam family "Bacterial small subunit ribosomal RNA", at positions 28 to 507 of the family's 1533-position model. The record is from RNAcentral.